RNAcentral lists this unclassified non-coding RNA (219 nucleotides) under uncultured fungus. RNAcentral describes it as "sequence contains ITS1, 5.8S rRNA gene". The stretch from base 171 to 219 matches the Rfam family "5.8S ribosomal RNA", at positions 1 to 49 of the family's 154-position model. The record is from RNAcentral. Lineage: Eukaryota; Fungi.
UCUCCGUUGGUGAACCAGCUGAGGGAUCAUUACAGAGUUAUCUAACUCCCAAACCAUUGUGAACUUACCAUAUGUUGCCUCGUCAGUACCUACCCUGUAGCCGGCUGCCGGCGGUCCUCUAAACUCUUGUUAUACUAUUGUAAUCUGAGCGUCUUAUUUUAAUAAGUCAACACUUUCAACAACGGAUCUCUUGGUUCUGGCAUCGAUGAAGAACGCAGC